Jatropha curcas is the source of this 347-nucleotide non-coding RNA. NCBI's taxonomy places the organism in Eukaryota, Viridiplantae, Streptophyta, Magnoliopsida, Malpighiales, Euphorbiaceae. The record is from RefSeq and is a predicted model, not a curated record.
AUGUAUUUGGUGUAGUACGUUGAGAGAAUUGUUUGAAUAAUUGUGCUGUGCAUAUAUUGUGUUUUGUUUGUGUGGAAUUGGGAUGAAGUGGGUCACCAUGGGACUGUGAGACCGUACAGUUAUAUGGAUCCAAUAUGAUUACCGUUAGCCGGGUAAAUGGGAGAUCGGCGCCCCCGUGUGCACCUACCGUUACCGUUACCGUUAACCACGGGUUGGCUUCUCGUCGCUGCGCACCGGACAGUCUAGAUUUGAUCACAGCCCGCAGGGUGGCCUCCUGUUGUGAGCGCCUGAUGAUCUAGAUUGGAUGAAGACCACCGGGUUGCCUCCUGUUGGUAUGAAAAAGAAAA